GUAGUUCGACUCGUGCACGAGACACGCUGGCGGCGUGCCUAAUACAUGCAAGUCGAGCGGACUUGACGGAGCUUGCUCUGUUCAAGUUAGCGGCGGACGGGUGAGUAACACGUGGGUAACCUGCCUGUAAGACUGGGAUAACUCCGGGAAACCGGGGCUAAUACCGGAUAUUCGUUUUUCUUCGCAUGAAGAAGAAUGGAAAGGCGGCUUUUAGCUGUCACUUACAGAUGGACCCGCGGCGCAUUAGCUAGUUGGUGAGGUAACGGCUCACCAAGGCGACGAUGCGUAGCCGACCUGAGAGGGUGAUCGGCCACACUGGGACUGAGACACGGCCCAGACUCCUACGGGAGGCAGCAGUAGGGAAUCUUCCGCAAUGGACGAAAGUCUGACGGAGCAACGCCGCGUGAGUGAAGAAGGUUUUCGGAUCGUAAAGCUCUGUUGUCAGGGAAGAACAAGUACCAAAGUAACUGUUGGUACCUUGACGGUACCUGACCAGAAAGCCACGGCUAACUACGUG
This 517-nucleotide ribosomal RNA is filed under the name uncultured Bacillaceae bacterium. RNAcentral describes it as "bacterial SSU rRNA". It matches the Rfam family "Bacterial small subunit ribosomal RNA", at positions 33 to 507 of the family's 1533-position model. Lineage: Bacteria; Bacillati; Bacillota; Bacilli; Caryophanales; Bacillaceae. The record is from RNAcentral.